GCCCCGAACUCUCGGCGUCGUCUCCCUCCGCCGCUGUCGGGGCCUAAGCGGGAGAGGCGGGGACGGCCCCGCUGGGUGGGCUGGGGCGGAAGUGGAGGCGGAGGGAGACGACGGCGGCGUCGUCCGCGGGGCCUCGGGCUCUCGCGGCGAGGCCCUGGUGGGCGCGAGGCAGGGGGAGGGGGCGGAGGAGGAGUCCGCAGCGCGGGCCGCGGCGGCCGAGUUCCCCGUGGGGCCCCGCCUCGGAGCGGGCGGCGGCGACGGCGGAGGAGGAGACUGAGGGGCAGGAUGGCGGCCUCGGCCCUGUACGCCUGCACCAAGUGUACCCAGCGCUAUCCCUUCGAGGAGCUCUCCCAGGGCCAACAGCUCUGCAAGGAAUGUCGGAUUGCACAUCCUAUUGUAAAAUGUACUUACUGCAGAUCAGAAUUCCAACAAGAGAGCAAAACUAACACAAUUUGUAAGAAGUGUGCUCAAAAUGUGAAGCAAUUUGGGACACCCAAACCUUGUCAAUACUGUAACAUAAUUGCAGCGUUUAUUGGUACCAAGUGUCAGCGUUGUACAAAUUCAGAAAAAAAAUAUGGACCACCUCAGACCUGUGAACAGUGUAAACAACAAUGUGCUUUUGAUCGGAAGGAGGAAGGAAGAAGAAAGGUUGAUGGAAAGUUGUUAUGCUGGCUGUGUACUUUAUCAUACAAAAGAGUUUUACAGAAGACAAAAGAACAAAGGAAGACUCUGGGAUCCUCACAUUCAAAUUCAUCUUCUUCAUCUCUUACUGAGAAAGACCAGCAUCAUUCAAAACAUCACCACCACCAUCAUCACCAUCACCAUCGUCACAGCAGUAGCCAUCACAAAAUCAGCAGUUUAAGUCCAGAGCAAGAGCAGGGACUGUGGAAACAGAGCCAUAAAUCCUCUGCAGCAAUUCAGAAUGAAACUCCAAAGAAGAAGCCCAAAUUGGAAUCUAAGCCAUCUAAUGGAGAUAGUAGCUCUAUAAAUCAGUCAGCAGAUAGUGGGGGAACAGACAAUUUUGUCCUCAUAAGUCAACUGAAAGAAGAAGUGAUGUCACUUAAGCGUCUCUUACAGCAAAGAGACCAGACCAUUUUAGAAAAAGACAAAAAGUUAACUGAACUAAAGGCUGAUUUUCAAUACCAAGAAUCAAACUUGAGAACAAAGAUGAACAGCAUGGAAAAAGCUCACAAAGAAACUGUGGAGCAACUUCAGGCCAAAAACAGAGAACUACUCAAACAGGUUGCAGCACUGUCAAAGGUAAUUGAGUCCCAGUCCUGGAUCUGUUGUGUAUUGACAUAUGAGCUGAUAACCUUUAAAUGUGGACCUGUAAGGAGAUAACUAUGGUGUGCUGUAUCGUGCUUUUAGCCUGUUUUCCACAAUUAAUUAGCAUUUAACGUAUGAAAUCCUAAAACAUGGAUGGAGAGAAGUAACUCAGGCCAAACAGUAGAAACUCUGUUCAUUCAGACCAUUUUAGUGCAAAGAUGAGGAGAUAAAUGUGAAUAUAAAUGAAACAGGAAUGUGAGCUGUUAAUUUUGAAAGUACAGCAGAUAUUUCUGGAUCUCAGCAUUUGUUGAAAAGGCAGAAUGUGUGAAACUGACUGCAGUGUGUCUUCACAGUCCAGCAGAGACAGGAGUGGCAGUAAUGGCAGGGGGAGCCAUGAAGUCCCAGGAGCUGCUGUUUCAGUUCCACUCAAUCCAAAGAAAUAAGACAGAAUCCAACAGAUACAAGAAAAUACCUCCCGAGAGACAAGAUUUCUUGCUAAAGUGAUCCAACAGAAGCCAGUGGGGAGAUGGUCGUCACUCACACUGGUCAGCCUCCUCAUUCCUGUUGCAGAUGCCUCAUUAGCUCUCACAUGACCUAGGAAAGAGGAAGGAAUUGGAGACAGGAGUGAGGAUGGAUGAAUGAAGAUGACUGAAACAGACUAUUUGAACCUCCGGGAAAAUUAAAUCAAGACACUCUGGACUUAGUGAUGACAAACACAGCGCAGAGUUUGCUGGGAUAUCAUGAACACUUAGUUCAGCUGGGACUGUAAACUGGGGUGCCUACAUGUGGCUUCUCUGUGGUUUGGGCUUCCUCACAACAUGGUAGACUGGCCCAGCAGAAAAGGUAGGUGCUCUUGGCCACCUGUGACCAAGCCUUGUAAGUCACAUUGUGUCAUUUCUGCUGUGCUCAACUGGUCAAAGAAGCAAACCCCAUCUAGAUACAAAUAAGGCAUAGAUAGCACUUUUCAAUGGGAAGUGUGUUAAGUAAUUUGUUGCCAGGUAGUCAUGAGAGCAACCCUCAGGAACACACCAGGGAAAUUAAGGCAGAAGCCAGCAGGAAAAUCAUAUUGAGUUCCAAUUAAUAAGAGCUAUGGCAACAAAUAAUUUCUGGAUCCACCUGAUGGUGGGUAAAGCUGCUGUUAUGACCCCUGAACUGGUAUGCCUUGGCUUUGGAGCUACAAGGGAAGGAUAUUUAGGGCCCUCAAUGGGAGGAUCUGGAAAAUUAGCUCAGGUGAACCUCUGGGACCCUAAUCACCAAAGAGUUAGUGCGGACAUAUCUGGACCCUGCCUCAAUAAGACAACCAAAAAAUUUGGACACCAAGGAUGCUGAGAAUUUACUCUAAUAUUUGGGUGUGAUAAUAAAAUGAUGUUAUACCUUGGAUUUGCUUUAAAGUACUCUGAUGAGGGGAGGAAGAGGUAAUGGGGUAUGGAUGAAGCACCACCAGCUGUAUGUUGAUAAUUAUGGUAGUGGGUACAUGGGAGUUCUUUAUACUAUUUUCUUUCAUUGUAUGCUUGAAAACUUUCACUUUAAAAAUUUAAAAAUCUUGCAUAUAAGUGCAUGUGCAUACCGGUGUACAUACAGAUAGAAAAUAACCACUAGAGUACAUUUGCUAUAUUUAAAACAGCAAUGAGAAAUUUCUAAUGAAGAAUUUUUGAAUUUGCUUAGUUAUUAUUAUUUUUAAAGAAUAUAUAUUUAUUUACCUGAAAGAGUUACAGAUAAAGGAAGAGAGAGAGAAAUAUAGAGAGAGAGAGGAGCCAUGAACUUCAACGGGGUCUCCCACAUGGGCAGUAGGGACCCAAGUGCCUCUGAGCUAUCUUGUGCUGCUUUUCCCAGGUCAAUAACAGGGAGCUGGACUGGAAGUGGAGCAGCCAAGACUUGAGUCAUCACCCAUAUUGGAUGCUGGUGUCACAGGUGGCACGUUUAUCCACUACACCACAGUGCUGGCUCCCAUUAAUUAUUAUUUCUAUGGACAACAAUAAUGUAGCACUUCAUAUAUAUAUAUAUUUUUUUUUUUUUUUGACAGGCAGAGUUAGACAGUGAGAGAGAGAGACAGAGAGAAAGGUCUUCCUUUUCUGUUGGUUCACCCCCCAAAUGGCUGCUAUGGCCAGCAUGCUGCGCCGAUCUGAAGCCAGGAACCAGGUGCUUUCUCCUGGUCUCCCAUGUGAGUGCAGGGCCCAAGCACUUGGACCAUCCUCCACUGCCUUCCCGGGCCACAGCAGAGAGCUGGACUGGAAGAGGAGCAACUGGGACAGAAUCUGGCGCCCCGACUGGGACUAGAACCAGGUUAUUCUGGCGCCGCAGGCGGAAGAUUAGCUGAGUGAGCUGCCCUAGCACUUCAUAUUUUAUGAAACACUUCACAAUUCUACAAGGCAGGCAGAGGAAUUUAGGCAAAGGGAAAAAAAGGGACAUGUUCAAGGUCACAUAGUAAAUGGAAAACCCAAAUGUCAAAUUUCAGCCUUUUGACUUUAUAACUUGUUGCUGUUAUAUAGGAAGUUACUGUGAAAGAGUGGCUUUUAACUGAUAGGGAUUAUAUGACAUUUUGAUGACUAAUCAAAGUUACGAACCUCUUAUUAGAGAAAUGUUUAUGUGCCCACAUUCAAAGAUAGCAGGACAACUUCAGGGUUGGCGAGGUUCAUUUUCCCCAAAACAUGUAGCUCAUUUAUGGGUAAGCAUAUUUGGUCUGUCAAAAAUAGAUUUAUCUCCUUUAAUUGUUGUCAUUUCUCAAACUUCAUCCAAUUAACCACAUUAGAUCUGCUCUCUAAUUUUCUCUCCUUAGAGAGGAGAGAAAAAUGAUCUCCACACGAAGCAUAAAAGGGCAUCCUGACUUAGCCUUAUAUCAGCAGCUUCCCACAAGCCCCACACAGAGCCAUUUUAUGUUGCAACAGUUAAUUUAUUCAUCAGUGGGGGCAGCAUUGCAGCAUAUUGGGUUUACCCACCAUGAUACUGCCAUCCCAUAUGGGUGCUGGUUCAAGCAAGUCCCAGCUGCUCCACCUCUGAUCCAACUCCCUGCUAAUGAGCCUAGGAAAGCAGCAGAAAAUGGCUUCAGUAGUUGAGUCCCUGCUACCCAUAUGGGAGAUCCAGAUGAAGCUCCUGGCCCGUGACUUCUGCCUGGCCCAGUCCUGUACAUUGUAGGCCAUUUGGGGAGUGAACUAGUGGGUAGAAGAUCUCACUCUUGUGUCUCCUUCUUUCUCUGUAACUCUGCCUUUCAAAUAAAAUAAAUAAAUCUUUCAAAAAAAAUCUAUCAAUCCCCAGAUCUUUUACAGUGUUUUCAGUUCAAAACCAUCACAUUUCUGAGAAAUUGGGAUAUUAUUGUUCACAAUCUAUCUAUUACUGAAAUGGAAAACUUUUCCCAUGGCAUAGAUAAUUAAUCUUUCUUCUGUGCUCCUAUAGCUUUAUGAGCAAGUCACUAUCAAAUGAGUUCACAUUAUGUUACAAAUAGUCAUAUAUACAAUCUUAACUUUGUUAUGAAAUAUCUACCUUGAUCUUUCAGGAGACUGUGUGCCCAUGGGAACAGGAAUCCUAUCCCCUCAUCAUUAGGGAAUGGCUAGCACAAGCCAUCACACUUAGCAACAGUGAAAUAAAUACUUCAUGAAUUAAUAUGUAACUCCAAACAUAAUAUUAGUAAUUAUUUAAAACAGUAAGCAAUACAAAACAAAGCCACCUGCAAAUACUUGCCAGGUCUAACUCUAUCAUCCUUUGGAGGUCAAUUAAGUAGAAAUUGUUUUGAGUGGUUUCUUCCAUUGCUUUCCUGAGGAGGAGGAGAGAUUUAUUUUGGUUAAAUGUUAUUAAAAGUUCUCCAGUUUUGGGCCAGCGCCAUGGCUCACUAGGCUAAUCCUCCGCCUGUGGCACUGGCACCCCAGGUUCUAGUCCCUGUUGCUCCUCUUCCAGUCCAUCUCUCUGCUGUGGCCUGGGAAGACAGUGGAGGAUGGGCCAGGUGCUUGGGCCCUAUACCCGCAUGGGAGACCAGGAGGAAGCACCUGUCUCCUGGCUUCGGAUUGGCACUGCGCGCCGGCUGUAGUGGCCAUUUGGGGGGUGAACCAACAGAAAAGGAAGACCUUUCUCUCUGUCUCUCUCUCUCUCACUAACUCUGCCUGUCAAAUAAAUAAAUAAAUAAAAAUUAAAAGUUCUCCAGUUUUGUUAACUACCUUUCUGGAGACGAAGCCUUGAUCUAAUUAAAAUGUUCAUUCCCAGUGACUGUCCAAGAGACCUUUGUGUCUACCUGGAUUAAUCAGGUGUUUUCUUCUGGAUUAAAGAACAAAGGCAGAGCUGUUGUCUCCAGAUGGCAUUUGCUAAGGACAGGUGUUACUUUGGUAAAAGCAAUAAAGCAUGAGCUACUCUCCUCUCACUGCUGGAGGGUGGCCUUUCUGUGCAGUCCCUCAGUGGUGAGUGGGAUUCUGAAUAGAAGGAUAAUUAGGCAGGAAAUUCUGCUGAGAGAUAUUUUGUGGGAAAAAGGAGGACAUGGUGUACCUCGUGGUGAAUUCAGAACAAGGCAAUGGGUGAGGAAGCAGGGCAACGUUGCAAAAUGUAAGAGUACAAAAUCUUUAAAUGGAAAUCCUACCAAUAUAAACACCUUGGGGCUUCUUUGACAUUUUUCAUUUUGUUCUUUCUCAAAGUCUCUUCACUUAUGAAAAAGGAUUACUAAGGGCUUUUAAGAGGGGAGUUAAGUCUUUUGUAGCUUGUGAAUUUUACUUAAAUCAGAAAAACGUUUUGCCUAAAGUAUAAUAGCAAGCAAAACAGUGUUUGAGUUUUCUUUCCAGAUGUGAUGAGGUAGCUGGAGCUGACUUGCCCUCCCACCAAAAGUACUAGAAAAUUGGAAAAACAGUAUGUAUUAAAUAACUGUCUUUAAACUUUGGGCAACAGUCAGAGCAGAUCUAUCAUGCAUGUGAGAAGGUAAAUAUGGGCUGUGCACAGACCCCAGAUUUUUGUACUUCAUGGAUGGUAGUACACAAAAGUAGUACCUAAGGAGAACUCAGUGGCCUUGUGUGGAGGACACAGAAAUCAGACAUUAAGGAGGUUGAGGGAACUGGAGUUAGGAGGGCAGGGAAUGGGAGAGUAGAAAAACAAGCAGAGGAAGAGCACCAGAAACCUACAUAGAGGUCCAGUCAAGUUUCUUGCUGAAAACUGAACUCCACGCACAGAGGAUGGAAGCUCCUCCAGAUCAGGCACAGAAAUAGUAGGGAGCUGUAAAAUAAGCAAUUUCUGGAGAUCCUAGUUGUCUUAGUCUAUUUGUGCUGCUGUAACAAAAUGUCUGUGACUGGGUAAUAUAAACAAUGGAAAUUUACUUGUCACAGUUAUGCAGAGUCCAAGAUCAAGGUGCCAGUAGGCUCGGUACCCAGUGGGGACUUUGUCUAUGCUUACAAGAUGGUGCCCUGUAGCUGUACCUUCCAGAGGAGACAAAUGCCAUAUUCUCACGUGGUGGGAAGAAUAGGCAGCUAAGGAGCCUAGCUAGUUAGAUCACUAAUCUCUUAUUAGAUCACUAAUCGGAUACAGGAGGGCAGGGCCCUUGUAGUCUAGUACCCUCCUAAAGAUUAUUACUAUUUAGGAAGUCUAUAACCUCCUAAAGUUUAUUACUAAAACUAGCAAUGGAGAUUGUUUCAACAUGCUUUUUGGAGGAACCAAAACAUCUAAACUAUAGCAUUAUGCCCCUAGCCGCCCCCCCCCCAUAUAUUAUUUCCUUCUCUCAUUUAAAAAAAUUCACUCCCCAGAAGUUUUAACUCACUUCAACAUCAACUUUUAGGUCAAGUCCAGAAUCUCAUCUAAAUAUCAAUUAAAUCAAAUAUGGGUAAGACUCAAGACAUGAUUCAUUCUGAGAUAAAUUUCUCUCCAGCUGUGAACUUAUAAAAUCAAACAAGGUAUAUGCUUUCAAAAUAUAAUUGUGCAACAGGCACAAGAUAGAAAAUUUUAUUCCAAAAUUGAUAAGAGGAAAGAAGAAAUAACAGGUUCUGACAAAACCCACAACCUAACAGGGCAAACAUUCAUCCUAGGGCUUGAGGAUAAUUGUCUUUGACUCCAUGCUCUGCCUUUUAGACAUACUGGGGAAGGAUUGGGUCCAUUAGGCUCUGAAUGGCUCUGCUCCCAUGAUUUCACUGGGUGCAGACCAAACAGUAUCCCUCAGAAGUUGGAGUUGGGUGCCUGAAGUUCUUCUAGGCUGGUAUUGCAUGCCUGGGUCCCAAGGAAGGCUCUGCCCACAGGAUCCAUCAUGCAUUGCCCUAGUGAGAAUUCUCUGCAGUGGCUUUGCUAUUGUGGACUUUUGCCUAAUCUCUGAUACUUUCUGAGACAUCUUUUGAAAUCUAAGUUAAGGUAGUCAUCCUUUCAUAGCUCAUGCACCCUGGGCACCUAUAGAAUUGGUGCCACUUGUAUACUGCCAAUAGUUAUCACUAUGCCUUCUGGGAUGGUGGUCUGAACCACACUUCAGUCUACUUGAAUGGUAGCUAGGAUGUUAAAGAGAACUGUGCUAGAAUGUAGGAGACAGAACCAUGAGCCAUCCCACAGGAGCCCUGGACUCCUCUUUUGAAAUUGUCUGCCUUCAAGGCCUGCAAUUCUGGGCCUCUGAUGGAUGGGGCGCAGAAAAUGCCUUUGGUGACAUUCUUUUGUUGUCCUGAUGAAUAGUAUAUGACUUUCUUCAAUUCAAACUGAUCUCCUUAGCAAACAUUCACUAGCUCACAUCUUUAGAAUUCUCUUCCAGAGAUGCCAUUUUUAUUUGCUACAUUACCAGAUUGAGAAUUUUCCACAUUCUUUUAGUUCUAUUUCCCUUUUGGUUAUAAAUCCCAUCUUUAAUUCAUUUCUCUCUUCUUGUGUUUUACCAUAAGCAGUCAGGAGAAGCCAGACAGCACCCUGAACACUUUGCUUAAAGAUUUCUUCUACCAAAUAUCCUAUCUCAUAUCUCUUAAUUUUUUUUCAUAAAGCAGCUGAAUAGUGACACAAUUCAGCCAACUUCUUUGUGAUUUUACAACAAGGAGGGCCAUUCCUCUAGUUUGUAAGACCUUGUUCCUCAUUUUCAUUUGAGACUUUAUCAGAAUGGUCUUUAUCAUUCAUAUUUCUAUCAACAUUUUAGAACAAUUGCCUAAGUAAUUUCCAAAAAGAUUUAGGCUGCCUAUAGCCCUAUUAUUCUGAGCCCUCACUAGAAUCUUCUUUAGCCAUGUAAGCAUUUCCUAGCAUCAGUCGUCAAACUCUUCUAACCUCUACCCUCCAUCAGUUCCAACCCUACUCACACAUUUCAGGUGUUUUUUAUGGUAUCGUCUUACCUCAGUUCUUGUUGCUGUAACAAAAUAGCAGUAACUAGGUCUUUUAUAAAUAACAGAAUUUUAUUCUUCACAGAUCUGGAUGUUGAAAAGAACAAAAUCAAGGCAUCAGCAUAUUUGCUGUCUGCUAAGAGUUGCUUUCUGUUCCCAAGAUGGCAUGAUAUUGCUAUGUCCUCACAUGGCAAAUAGGAUAGAAGAACAAAAAAGGGUCUAGCUAGUUCCUGCCAGUAUUUCUGUAAGGUUGCUAGCCUCAUUUAUGAAAGUGGAGCCCUCAUGAGCUAAUCACUUCCUAAAGGUCCCAUCUCUUUGUACUAUUGCAUAGAGGGAUUACAUUUCAACAUAUAUUGUACAGUAGAAAUACUUGACUGAAAGUUAUUUGAGUUCCAACUAUUCAAACAGGUGAAACCUCACUGAAUAUUAAAUAAGACCCCAGAAGAUGCACAGCUUAGUAGCAGGAUUAAACCAGUAAUAGAAUAAAGUAGAAAUUCAUGCAAACUUAAAAACAGACCUCAAAAUUCUCAAGCUGAUCCAUAUAUAUUUUAAUUUUCUGGCAAAAGAAACUUAAGUAUACUUAAUAAGAGACAACGAAAUAUAGACCCUGACCAGUACAAUAAUUAUAAUUUUCAGCAUCCAAUAGAAAUUUCUAGACAGGUAAAGAAGCAGGAAAAUGUAACCCAUAACCAGGGUGGAAAAAAAUCAGUAGUAACAAAGCUAGAAGUGACAAGAAAGAUAGAAUUAACAUAUAAUGAUUUUAACAUUGCUCUAACAAAUGUGCUCAAGAAGUUAAAGAAAAGCAUGAAAUUAGUAGAGAAAUAAAAACUUAUUUCAAAAAUAAGUACAUAGGAGUGCCAAGGAUGAAAGGUCAGUAUGUAAAAUGAAAAUGUUACAGGGUAGAUUUAAUAGACUUAAUGGUAUAGAAUUAAAAAAAAGGUCAUUGAAACUGAAAAUUUAGAAAUAACAGCUAUCCAAACAAAAGCAUAGAAAGAAAUAAAUGACCAAAAUAAAUGAAUAGGGUGAUCUUUGGGACAACUCUACUUGUGCGUACUUGGAAUCCAAGAAGGAAAAAGGGGGUAGGAAAAGUAUAUUAUGAAUAAAGGAGAAAGAUUUCCAAAUUGGACUCAAGACUACAAAAUUACAAAUACAAGUAAUUCAACAAAGCUCAACUAAAAUUAACAAUCACACCAACAAGUAAAUAAAUAAAGCAUGCAUGGCAUAUCUUGAUCAGAUAUCUGAAAAUCAGUGAUAAAGAAAAUAUUGUAAAAAUAUAAGAAGUGAUAUCAUGAUAAAAUAUAUGAAGAACAAAGAUAAAAAUGAUAUAAGAAGCAAUACAAGCCAGUACAUAACAGAAUAGAUUUAAAAUGACAAAAGAAGAAUAAAAGAACCCUUUUACCUUACCUCUAGAUUAAAUAAAAAUAUCCUUUAGUGAGUGAAAUACUUAUUCAGAAAAACAUAAAAGAUACAAGCAAUAGCAUAGGUUUAAACCUAACCAUAUCAAUAAUUCAUGACAUGUAAGUGGUCUCUAAAGGCCCUAAAUAAAAGUCAAAGAUUAUAAAACUGAGUAGAAAAUAAAAGAUAAGACUCAACUCUAUGCAACCUGUAAGAAAUCUACUUUGAAUAUCAAAGUCUAAUUUAAAGGCAAAAGACUGAAAAAAUUUAAAAAAUAAAAGAAAAAUAGAGUGGCUAUAUUAAUAUUAAAGUAGGCUCAGAACAAGGUAUAUAAUCAUAAUAAAGAAUGACAUUAUGAUUUAAACUUCCAGUUAUAAUUAUGCAUAAGGUACCCUAAAGAACAGCACCCAAAGUAAACAGAAGAAAAGGAAUAAUAAAGAUAAGAACAGAAAGCAGUUAAACAGAAAGUGGACAAACAGGGGAUGGCAUUAUGGUGCAGCAGGAUAAGCUACUGCCUGUGAUGCUGGCAUUGUGUUUGAGUGCAGGUUUGAGUUCCAGCUGUUCCACUUCUGUUCCAGCUCCCUGCUACUGCACCUGGGAAAGCAGUAGAAAAUGGCCCAGGUGGGGUCCUGCCACCCACGUGGGAGACCUGGAUGCAAUUCCAAGCUUCUGGUUUUGGCCUGGUACAGCCCAGGCAUUAUGGCCAUUUGGGGAGUGAACCAGUGGAUGGAAGAUCUCUCUCUCUGUCUCGAUUGCCCUAUCUGUUACUCUGCCUUUCAAAUAAAUAAAAUAAAUCUCUUUGAAAUAAAUAGUGGGCAAACAGAAAAUAUCAACAAAACUACAUGUGGAUUCUUUGGAAAGAUCAAUAAAAUUGAUAAGCCUCUAGCCAGAGUGUUCAGAAGAAAAAAGAGAGGGAUACAAAAGCCAGUAUCAAAAAUUACAGAGAAUUCUCCACCAGAAAUGAGCAUUACAUUAAAUUCUGCAUAGUACAUAGUAAAAGAUUCCUGUUUCUUUAUCUGGACUUUGAAAUUAUUAUGAAUGGAUUUCUGUAAAAAAAUUGGUGAAAUUUAGACAUAUAAACAAUAGACAUUUCUCAGCACAAAUUAUGAAAACUCACAUAAGUAAAAAUGGAAUCUUUUCAAUAGCCCUCUAUGUAAUGAAGAGAUUAUAUUUACCAUGAAAAGAUUUUGGGCAAAGAAUAUUACAGAUUUGCUAGGCUGCUUCAUUGGUGAAUUCCAUCGAACACUUUUUUUUUUUAAAAGAUUUAUUUAUUUAUUUAUUUAUUUGAAAAUCAGUUACAGAGCAAGAGGGAGAGAGAUCUUUCAUCCACUUGUUCACUCCCCAGAUGGCCUCAAUGACCAGGGCUGGGCCAGGCUGAAGCCAGGAGCCAGGAGCUUCAUCCAGGUCUGCCACGUGGGUGGUAGGGGUCCAUACACUUGUGCCAUCUUCCACUACUUUUCCAAGGCCUUUAGCAGGGAACUGGAUUAGAAGUGGAGCAGCCGAGACUGGAACUGGUGCCCAUUUGGGAUGCUGGUGGUGAUUUUAUCCACUAUGCCGCAAUGCCAGCCCCUCCUUCAAACAUUUAAAUGAAGAUAAAAAUCAUACAUAAGCUUUUUUUGGAAAAUAGCAUAGGAGGAAAUUGUUCUUAAUUUGUUUUAUGAGGCUGUCUUGCUCAAAUAACAAUAACAUACCAACACAUAAUAGGAAAACUGUAGAGCCAUGUCCCUCAUGAACAUGAACACAUAAUUACUCUGCCAAUUAGAAACAAAUGGAAUAAAUUAGAGAAAAUACAAAAUGAACAAAUAUUUAUCCCAGGAACACAAAGUUGGUUUACGUUCAAAAUCAUUAAUAGCAUCAUCAUUCACAAUUGAGUAAAUAAUAAAAAUGACAUGAAUACUAUUAGAUGCAGAAAAGCAGUGAGCAAAAUUGAACACAUAUUUAUGGCAAAAUACUUCAGCAAAUUAGGAGUGAAAGGUAAAAUUUUAUCUUGAUAAAUGCAUCUACCAAACAAACAAAACAAAACAAAACCCUCAUAGCUACCAGCACAUUUAAUAGUGAAAGGCUCAAUGUAAGACUGGGAACGUAGGAUCCAGCCUUGUGGCACCAUGAGUUAAACUACUGUAACCUGUGACACUGGCAUUCCAUAUGGGUGCUCAUUUGAGUCCCAAAUGCUCCACUUAUUUUUCCACCUCCUUGCUAAUGCAACUGGAAAAGCAGUGAAAGUGCUUGGGUCCCUACAUCCAAGUAGGAGACCCAGGUGGAGUUCCAGGCCCCUGGCUUCAGCUUGUCCCAACCCUGGCCUAGGCCAAUGUGGCUAUUUCAGGAGAGACGAGUGGAUAAAAGAUCUGCCUGUCUCUUUCUCUCUGCGUAAUUCUAUCAUUCAAAUAAAUAAAUCUUUUUUAAAAAAAGGAUUGGCAAAAUAGCAAGAAUAUUUGUUUUUAACAUUUCUAUUUGAUUCUGCACUGGCUCUAGUCCAUGUUCCUAGUCCACACAAAGAAAGAUGAAGAAAAAAGGAAUGCACGUUAAAAAGGGAGAAAGAAAUCUGUCCUUAUAAACGUAAGACAUGAUCACAUAUGUACAAAACCCUAAAAAAAAUACAAGAAACUUAUUGGAACAUACAAGUGAAUUUAGUAAGGUUGCAGGAUAUAAUAAAAGUUAUAGCAUUUAUAAUUGCAUAAAAUAAUUAGGGACAAGUUUUAAAAUGGUGUUAAGAUUAUAUACCAUAAGACCUUAAAACUGUAAAACUAUUUAGAAAGAAAUGAAAAACUACAUAAAUGAUAAGAUAUACCAGGUUCAUGGAUUGGAAUACUGCAUAUUUUUAAGAUAUCAAUUCUUCCUGACUUGAUGUAAGAUUUUACCUCAAACAUAGCAUAUUUCUUUGGAAGAGUUGUCAAGUUGAUUCUCCAAUUUCUAUGAAAAUACAAAGAGCCUAGAAAAGCAGUUUUGGGAAAGAACAAUAUUGGAGGUUGACACUGCCAUAUAAAAAUAGUACAUGUAAUUUUUAUAGCAUAUAAUACUUGAAUGAUAAUAAAUGUUACUGUUUUAUACACUUAUUGUACUAUAUUUUUUUAUCAUUAUUUUAGAAUGUACUCUACUUGUUAAAAAAUGUACUCUACUUGUUAAAACAGUAUGCCAUGCCAUAUCAUGCCAGGAGCAGGGCUUAUACAUCUCAUCUUUACCACAUCUUUACAUCAUUAUCUCUUGUGCUUGAUUUAACUCAUGUCUUAUUCCUCACGGUGCUAGCAGAAAUAGACUAUGUCAUUUAUAUACCAUAUAACCUUGUUUUGAGGCAGGCCAUUCUAAGUAAGUUUGUGUAAGUACACUUGACAUUUUUGUACAAUGAUAAAAAUGUCCAGUUAUGCAGUUCUCAGAAUAUGUUCCUGUCCUAAAGAGACACACGACUCUACUUGGCUUCAAAACUUGCAAAAACUAAUCAGGACAGUAUGGUAUUGAUGUAAGGAUAGAUACACAGGUCAAUAGAACAGAAGACCACACAUACAACACUAUUAACACCACUACCCACGUGAGAAGGAUAUUCAGAAUGUUCAUAAAAAGUGUGCAUUAUGAAAAAAUUAUGUAUGGAUUACAGAAUUUUUUAUAUCAAGAUAAAUUUAUCUUCUAUUUUUUUCUUUUUUUUUCACAUUGGGAGAUUUUUAUUAACUUGACAUUCUUUUUUUUUUUUUUUUUGACAGGCAGAGUGGACAGUGAGAGAGAGAGACAGAGAGAAAGGUCUUCCUUUGCCGUUGGUUCACCCUCCAAUGGCCACCGCGGCUGGCGUGCUACGGUCGGCGCACCGCGCUGAUCCGAUGGCAGGGGCCAGGUACUUAUCCUGGUCUCCCAUGGGGUGCAGGGCCCAAGGACUUGGGCCAUCCUCCACUGCACUCCCUGGCCACAGCAGAGAACUGGCCUGGAAGAGGGGCAACCAGGACAGAAUCCGGUGCCCCGACUGGGACUAGAACCCGGUGUGCCGGCACUGCAAGGCGGAGGAUUAGCCUAGUGAGCCGCAGCGCUGGCUAACUUGACAUUCUUAAUUUUGUCUAUUAUCUCCUUAGUAAAUGUGCCUUAAGUAAUACAAACCUACAAGUGUUUCUUAAUACCACAGAAUCAUGAAGAUUUGCAGUUAUCCAUGUUUUAUAAUGAUUAAAACAAUGCUCAAAAAUUAACAUGUUACUUCACUGAAAUACUUAAAAGAACAUUCUGAGGAGUGUUUGAAAGCUCUGUUUAUAAAUAGUGAUUGAUACAUUUAUUACUUAUGUUAUGCUGAAGAUAAACACAUCUUAUAAAAAACACUUUUAAUACACUGCUUCACUAAUGAGAUAUAUUUUAACCCUAAAGAAUAAAGCUUUAUCAUAAUAUAUUUAUAGGAAUUUUAUCCAUGAAGAAUUUCGUAUACAACAAUAAUAAACAGGCAUAUUGCGAGUGACAUUCUGUAAAGCAAAAAAGGACAGCUGCAAGAAAAGAAACCAGAUACCUGCAUUAAACAUUCUUUGUACAAACAGUCCAUUGGGAACAGAAUGCAUACCAAAUAUUUUUAAAAGUUCGUGUGGCUAGAUGGUAAUUACAAUCUCCACACGUUAAAAAGAAAAAGAACAAUAACACAGAACACAGUAUUCUUAACAAUUGUAACACAUUUAAGACCUUCAGCCAUUUCACUGGGUUCUCAGAUCAAAUUGGUAAUUGAAAUUUGACAUCCACAUGGGCUUGCUUGGCUAAAGUCACUAUUUCAGACAGCUUUACAACCAUUCUAGCAGCUUCAUCCAAAUCAUUACAAGCAAGAAUUUUAAGUCCACUGUCUGCUAUCAGUGCCUUAGCAUCACCAACCCGUGUACCUUGUAAUCGUACCACAACAGAUAUUUUAAUUUCCAAAUCUUUUACUGCCAUGACUAUACCUUGUGCAAUAACAUCACAUCACAUGAUUCAUCCAAAAAUGUUAACCAGAAUGGCUAGUACCUUUUUAUCUGAAGUGACAAGCUUAAAUGCUUCUGUUACUUGAUGGGCUGUGGCACCACCACCACCAUCAAGAAAGUUGGCUGGAGUCCCUCCAUGAAGCUUUAUUAUCUCCAUUGUGGCCAUAGCCAAACCAGCACCAUUUACUAGGCAGCCUAUAUUUCCAUCAAGACCAAUGUAGUUGAGAUCUGCCUUCGCUGCAUCUUUGUCCCUUUCAUCUUCCUGGGUCCAGUCCUGGAGAUCAAAGAUUUUCUUUUGGUGAUAUGCUGAAUUAGAGUCAAAUUAAACUUUGCAUCCAUACACAGCACAGCUCCAUCUGAAUCUUCCACCAUUGGAUUUAUUUCUACCAUGGUUGCAUCAUAUUUCAGAAAAAGGUUGUAAAGCUUGACCAUGUUUUCUGCUGCAGAAUCCACAAUGUUAGGUGGAAAUCCCAUCUUCUCUGCAAGCCGGACAGCUUGUUCCUUUUUGAUUCCUUCUACAAUAUCAAUAGGUUCUUUAACUAUCGCAUCAGGAGUCUCAGCAGCAACAUCUUCAAUGUUAAUACCACCUUGUGAACUUCCUAUUAAUGCAGGACCUUGAAAUGGCCUUUCCAUUGCUAUUGCAAAGUAGUAUUCUCUUCUGGGAUAUUUUCACUCACAGAUCAAAACUUGAUUGCGUAUUCUGCCCUUUUCUCCAGUUUGCUUGGUAAACUACCUUUUCCCAAUCAUUUGUGAAGAAAUAGCUUUUGCUUCUUCUGGAGAGAAAACAAUCUUUACUCCUCCUUUGAGGCCACGUUCAGAUGUUCCUUUUCCUCUACCACCAGCUAAAACCUGUGCCUUUAUCACAACAUCUUUUGAGCCUAAUUUUUUGGCAAUUGCAUAAGCUUCAUCUGGUGACUUUGCCACAAAUCCUUUGGGAACGGAGACACCAGCUUCUUGCAACAAUUCCAUACUCAUGUAUUCGUAUAGUGAAAGAUUCCUUUGCUGCUGCUGCUGUACUUGGAGUCCAUGAUUAUUAAAUAAUCCAGAACUUCCAAGAACCUGAGCAGCAGCCCGCAACGCCGUCCGGGGCCGGUGGCUCCUAAGGGUGGCGUCAGCCAACAGCCCUAAUUCUAUUUUUUUUUCACAGAGAGGGAUAGAUCUUCCAUCUACCUGUUGAUUCCCUAAAUGCCCCCAAUAGCCAGGUGUAGGCCAGGCUGAAACCAGCAGCCAGGAACUCCAUCUGAAUCUCCCAAGAACCUGGUCUAUCAUCUGCUGCCUCACAGGUGCAUUAACAGGAAGCUGGAUCAGAAGCACAGAGUAGCUGGUACUCAAAAGACACUGGGAUAUGGGAUGUGGUCAUCCUAAGUAGUGGCUUGACAUGCUGUACCAUGCUGCCUGCCCUUCACAGAUUUUUUUUUUUUUUUGACAGGCAGAGUGGACAGUGAGAGAGAGAGAGAGAGAGAGAGAGAGAAAGGUCUUCCUUUUCCAUUGGUUCACCCCCCAAUGGCCGCUGCGGCCGGCACACUGUGGCCGGGGCACAGCGCUGAUCUGAAGCCAGAGGCCCGGUGCUUCUCCUGGUCUCCCAUGCGGGUGCAGGGCCCAAGGACUUGGGCCAUCCUCCACUGCACUCCCGGGCCAUAGCAGAGAACUAGACUGGAAGAGGAGCAACUGGGAUAGAAUCCGGCGCCACGACAGGGACUAGAACCUGGUGUGCUGGUGCUACAGGCGGAGGAUUAGCUUAUUGAGCUGCAGCACCGGCUGCUCUCCACAGAUUUUUAAAGUACCCAUGUGUGUGUGUGUGUGUCUGUGUGUAUGUCAAAUGGCCUUUACAUCUCUCCUUUUCCACAAAUGACGCUGAUACAACUGGCUAUCCAUUUAGGAAAUAAAGUGAACACAAUACCAUACUAUAUCCUCUUUUUCAGGUAGCAACUUGAAAUGGUUCAUAGAUUUAAAUAUAAAUGCCAAUACUCUGAAACUGUUUGAAGAAAACUUAGAAAAUAUUCAUCACUUGUUGACAUAUAUUAGGAACACAACAACCAUGAAAGAAAAAACUGCAAAUUUCAUAAUUAAAAUCUUCUGCUCUUCAUAAGACACAUUAAAAAUGAAAAGGCAAGAAUUAACUUAGUUAAAAUAUUUUGAAACAUAUACAUUCAGGAACAAGUCUCGGAAUUCAAUAGUAAGAUGAAAAUCAAUAAUAACCGUUAUAAUUCAAUAGUAGAUGAAAACCCCAAGUAGAAAAUGGAUUAACAAUCUGAAUAGACACUCCAUAAAAGAUUACAAAUGGCCAAAAAUGCAUGAAAAAUAGUAAACAUCACUAUUCAUUAGUCAAUGAAAAUUAAAACACAAUGAGAUGCAUUCACACAUUCACUAGAAUUACUGAAGUUAAAAAAUACAAUAAUAAGGCCAGCACCGUGGCUCAAUAGGCUAAUCCUCUGCCUGCGGCGCCGGCAAACCAGGUUCCAGUCCUGGUCGGGACACCGGAUUCUCUCCUGGUUGCCCCUCUUCCAGUCCAGUUCUCUGCUGUGGCCCGGGAAGGCAGUGGAGGAUGGCCCAAGUCCUUGGGCCCUGCAGCCGCAUGGGAGACCAGGAGGAAGCGCCUAGCUCCUGGCUUCGGAUCGUCGCCAGCAUCUGUUGUUGGUAGAUUUCUGUAUGUGAGCCAUUCCAGCUGGGGUGAGGUGAAACCUCAUUGUGCUUUUGAUUUGCAUUACCCUAAUGGCUAGUGAUCCUGAACAUUUUUUCAAGUGUCUUUUGGCCAUUUGAAUUUCCUCUUUUGAAAAAUGUCUUUUUAGGUCCUUGGCCCAUCUCUUAAGUGGGUUGUUUGUUUUGUUGUUGUGGAGUUUCUUGAUAUCAUUGUAGAUUCUGGUUAUUAAACAUCUUAAAAUUAUAGAAAUGUAUUGAUGGUGCCACCAUCAUUAACAGGUAUAUACUUAGGACAGAUAUAUAUGAUUUUAUCACAUCUCAUUAAACUGUACUUAAAAAUGCAUUUUAUUGCAUAUAAUUUAUGCCUGAAUUAAGUUGAUUUUUGAAAAGGCACUUUCAUUGACAAAAAGGCUACUAUGAAAUGCCUCCCUGAUUGAUGACUGCUCAGCCAUGAGCAGUCAUCUUACUAGUUACAUGGAUGCACAUUAUACGGAAUCAAUAGCCAAAUUAACAUACAGAUAUAGCUCCUUUGGGAAAGCAUUGAAGGCUUUGCCAAACUAGGAUUUAUCAUGGGUUCUGUGUUGUGAGAGGCGCAAUGUGGUGAAAAGUGUGAUUGAGAGAUCCCAAGGAGAGAAAAGGGAAGCCAAAUGCACACAGUGGACUUGACAAGGUGCUAGGUCUCAGAGAUCUCUGAGUAGAGUGAAAGGCCAGAAAGAUAAAUACUAUUCACUUCUAGGGUUUUGACCCCUUGUGAGAAUGAGUACUAAAAGAUACAGAAAGGGAACAAAAUGUAAGAAGUGGGCGAUUCACAUGGGGACAAAGGCUCACAAACUCUUGACUGCCCUACAUGUAGUUCUUUGGCAGUAAUAGCUCAGGUUUAUAUAGUGUUUCCUGUGUAAUCACAUUCUUAAAAGGACAUCUGCAUCUGUAUCUAUACUAUAUGAGUUUUUAUGCUUAUGCCUACAGCUAGAUACUGAUAAAUGUAUACUGAUAUGUAUACAUACGUAUUAAUUUAUCUACCACGAUAACAGCUCUGAUUAUCAUCCCUAUCUGACUAUUUCAUAACAAACUUACCUGCCCAAAGUCACACAGGUACUAAAAGACAGAUCUAAGACUUAAACCCAUAUAGUGUGGUACAGAGUUUGUGCUUUUCCAUUAUUACAUUAUUUUGCCAACUGCAUGCUGAAGGUGUCAGCACUUUAGGGACUACUUCUACAGGUAGAAUCACAGAGUACCUUCACCUCCUCCAUCAGAUUGUAAAAUGUGAAAAAAUAUUGUAGGUGUGUGUGUGUUUCCUGAGUGUAACUGCCCACUGUCACAUGUUUUUUAUUUAACAAACAUUUGUUGAGUGACUUCUAUGUGUCUGAUAUUAUGCCAAUUACUGGGGAUUCGGAAAUAAUUAAGAUCUAAUCCCCACUUUCAAAGAACUGGAAGUUCUGCCAAGAUGAUUUGGUGAAAGUCAUAUAGUGCAGAUGGAAGUCUGGAACACUGUCCACACCAGUAUAAACGAGGCAGGGCAGUCUGUUCCCAUGUUAUCAGAAGAGUGUCUGCACUUGAGUCUUUGAAGAUGAUACCUGGGCAUCCCUGGGGGUCCUAUUAUUUUUACCAUUAAGCAAUGUGAAACCAUAAAAUGAUUAGGGUCGGCAUGCUUUUAGAGAAUUAAUGUUCUAACAAAUUGGGUGAUUUUGCUCAGCUUGGCUAUUGAGGAUAACAUAUUGUGAAUUUACUGAGCUCAUCUGUGACCAGAUUCCUCUGCAGGGUAAUUGAAAGUGAAUGGAAAUGGCUAUUUAUGCAUUCAUAGCCAUUAGAUAUUGCUUUCAUCUCUGAUUUCUUUGGAUGAUGAGUCAAAAUAUAUACUGAAAUCAUUGCCUGCGGGUGCCGCUUUGCAUGUUCAAUUAACAAGGGCCUAUGCUUGAUACUGGCUGUGGAAAGGCAGAUGGUGAAGGGAAACUGUACUGUUACACUCAGAAGUGGUCCACUAGCCAAAUGGAGGUAUGUUUCCGAAUUGCCUCUCCUUCUUUCAGGGUUUGAUGGCCACUAGGAAUGUGUGUGGCCCUCUGCUAGGUUCGCAAUCCUCUGGUGGCAUUGCCCAAUGGUUUUGCAAGGAUGCUAAGAAAAACUGAAAAAAACAAAAAGAGUUAUUGGUAAAAUACAUCUAAGAAGGAUUUAUUGAAUAAAGUUAAGUGUGUUUUUUAGUGUAGGGUUUUUCAGAGUCCUGAGUACACUUAUGUGAAUUGCAAAGCUGUAUGAAAGAGAGGUAAUGAGUUCAUCAAACUUACAUAAGGAAGAUAGUGCUUACUGAAUACUCUGUACUAUUUAUUAGGUUAAAUAGUUUUCCUAGAUUACUUUAUAUAGUGUAUGUAACUGCUAUAUGAUAUAUAUUUUUUUUUUGUAAUGAUAGCACUAAGGUCUGGUGUGAGUGGUGCUUGACAGGACAGCCAAGGUCAUAAUGAGGAAGUGACUUUUCAGGAUUUGAAAAAAGCAGUUUGGCCAGAGAACUCAUACUCUUCAUGAAGCACUCUAUUUCUUCCUUUUAAAUUUUUUCCAAAAAGGCUCUUGUUCAAGGUGAGGUCCACAGAUCACAUCGAGUAAGGAAUUUUUAGGAUAAAAGUAGCAGAUGUUCUGGGAAAUCCCCUAGAUCAGAGACACACAUUAAUGCCAGUAUAGAUAAGGAAAUACAAACAGUGUUAAAAAUUAACAUUUUUCAACUCAUCCCACCUAUUUCUGUUCCAUAAGUACAAAUGAAUGAAUGGUUCCUGGACUUGAGAAUGAAAACCAUGUUCAAAUCUUCCUAAGCAUUUGAGUCAUAUUGUACUUAUCUAGCUCAUUCUUCACUUCUCUAUGCAAACAUCACCAAGUUCCUAAUGAUACUAUUUCAGUAAAUUCAUACAUUUUUGAGUGCAUAUGAUGAGCUGGGUCCUGCACUAGCUAUUACAUUCAGAGAAAGUUUUGAAGUCAAUGCAAGAAUCUGACAGAAGUGUGGAACUGAUUGUUUGUAAGGCUGGUUGGGGUAUGCAAUUAAGGGAUGACAUCCCCAGUGGUCCACCUAAGACUGCACUCUUGAAUUAGGAAGAUGUAUCCAUCUAAGUCUUGGAAGAACAGUUCAAUCUCUUCACUCUCCAUACACUUAUUCUGUAGUAAUGACAAAGAAUAUGGGUGUCCAGAAGGCAGGCAGGGCCCAAAGGAGGGGUAGAUGGGACUGAUUUCAGUAUACUUGAUUUCUUCUCACACAUUUUCCAAUGAAAUAAACUACCUGGAGAGAAGUAAGGGAAGGCUUAGAGAUUCAUUAGAUGUUCCUCCCAUGUUUUUCUCUUCUGAGGAGGAGAAGAAAUAAUCCUAUUCUAUGGAGCUAGAAACAAAUACAGGGGAAAUAAUCCACUUCCCUGAAUGUUAGUGAUGGGAAAUAAAUAACACUGCUCAGCCUAUAUAGUCUCCCAAGGCACUCAGAGUCUAGCAGAAAAGACAGGCAGAUAAAUUGACAACUAAAACGUUGUGAAGUACCAGUACAAGUGAGGAGGUAAAGCAGAAGGUUAUUUGGCCCCAGGACUAUUUUCAGCCACUUAAACACAAAAUGUACAUUGUUUUCUUCCAUCUAUCAGGAUGACAUUUGUACAUAUUAAUAUUUUCAUGUAUUCAUUCAAACAUCAAACAUAUAUAGAAUAUGGACAAGUACACGCCCUGGAAAUACAAAGAUGAAGCCAGAAAACUGCCCCUCCCAGCUUUAAAAAGAAAUAUUCUCAUGGGUUAAUUAUUGUGAAAUAGUGGUUCAUUGGUUAUGUGGAAAGUCUUCAAGAUAAUGCCACACAGAGUAUAAAGUUUAGGGGAGGGAGAUGUGUAGAGCAGGUUAGGGACACCACCCCAGCACUAUAAAUUGGAAAGGAGGAAGAGAGAAAGAAUGGUAAAAAAUGGGCAGUGAACCUCAGGAAUGAGUUGUGGAAGGGCUCUCUCCCAGUCAUCCCAGAUUUGUCCAGAAUCAGUAGGUCGUUUAUUAGGAUAGGAUUGUACCCAUGCAAAGUCAAGUGAGGCCAGGGAACAAAGCAAACACUUAGAAUUGAACUGAUAAAACACUGAGAGUGGUUCUAACUAUUCUGUUCUCCAAGAACAUGAGCUGGUAGUUAUUCUAUUUGUGAAGAGAAGAUGGAAUGAUUGAGGAUUUAGAAAUUGAGAAGCUAAGCUAGCUAUAAUGAAAUAUAGUGGAUAUAGUAACCAGAGUACUCUAAUAUUUGUCUCCACAAAAUAAGACGCAAGAAUUAAAAUAAUAAAAACUUCUAUGUAACGUUACAUUACUUGCUUGAUUGGGAAGGGAACAAAGCCAUUACUUGCCAGAGUGAAAUGCUGUUUCAGGGGAACGUAUGUAUGUCUCUUUAGAAACCUCACUCUGGAAUGCUGGCAGUUGGAAAGACAGCAAGAACUUUCUUUUUCUUUCCCCAACUCCAGCACUCCUGGUCAAACUCUAUGGUUUAUUAUUUUAAUCCAUCACACCACCUUCUAGCACAUGUAUCAUUUACUUUUUUUUUUUGUUUCCUAUUUAUCUUCUGUCUCUCCCACUGAGAUAUAAGAUCCAUGAGGAUGAAUCUUUAUUUGUUCCUCAAUAUAACCCAGGUACCUAGGAGAGUGUAUACCUGGCAUGCUGUAGGCUUUCAACCAGUGUGUGUUGCAUGAUGAAUCAUUUGCGAAAUUCCUCUGGAGAACUAACUUAGAGGUAGUCUCAUGGAAAAAAAGAAGUUUUAAGGGGGAAAAAGGAAUCUUUGUGAAAAACAUUCAGUGACUUUGCAACAGAUCAUUGCCAGGAUAUGAAUUAGGGAAGAAGACAAAGCCAACUGAGCUGUUAGCAGAAUGUAGUGAUGUGCUGAGAAAAAACAGCUCCCGUGGAGGUAUUUAAAUAAGAAACUUAAAAUUACAAAACUAAUCUUUCCCCACCUCUUCUGCUGAUUAUUUUAAGAUACAAAUGUCCAGGUGGUGUUCACUUCUUCUCCUGAUGAUUUCAUCAACUGUUUUGUAGGAAAUUACUGGUUAGCUUAUUUAAUGGCUUACCAGACCCAGCAGAACCCGACACCUCUGGAAUCUUUGGGGCUGUGAAACUGGUGGUGCAGCUGGGUGCCAUAAAUGAGUUUUCUGGAUCUCCACUCAGCUGCUGCAAUUGAGGAGGCAUUGAAAAUUGUCUCUGUUUUUCCUUCUUUAAUCCCAUAAUUGUUUUCACUUCAGAAGACUGGGUUAAUUAUAUGGUAGCUAUUUUAGGUUUGCUUCUGCCUACAUAAUGUUUGUGUUUGGUGAUUUUCCUUGGCUAAAUGGAAAGCUUAUUCUUGGGUGUCAGGAAUGAAAAGGACAGUAAUAGUAGCCAGUAUUUGUGCAGCAAUGAUCACUGAACUUUACUUCAUUAAGUCAUCAUAAUGACCAUGUUGAGUGGUAUCUAGGGUAUAAGCAUUCUAUUUCAAAUUACUUGAGGCUUGGAGUUGUCAAGUUGUGUGUUCAGAGUUACGUAGCUAGGCAGAUACUGCAGGUAGCACUUAGACCAAAUGCUGGGAACCAAAAUCCUGGGCAAUCUUUACUGUCCGUAGGUUGUCAUAGUCCUUAUACAACAAUCGCUGCAUCAUUAGUGUAAUCAUAAAAUUCUGCCUAGUGAAUUGUAGACUUGAGAAGUAUAUGAACUCUUGAACUUUAAGAGUGCAACCUUUAUUUCAUAUAAAAUCUUUUUCUGUUACAGUAACUUUGUGAUGUAAAAAGCAAAGAAACUUUUCCUCCCAAUUUUAUUCAGUAGUUUCAUAUCUCUAAAAAUACACAAAACAUCCAGAUUAGCAUCGAGAUAAGAUCUAGGCCAUUACUGUUAGUCUUUUUUUUUUUUUCUCCUUGGCUGCAACUGGAGUGUCCAGAAAUAACAUGGAAACUUCUAACCUUCUUUCUUCACCUCACUACCACCAGACUGUAUGCCAUAAGAGGCAUUAAGAGGCUAAGAAACAGAAUUGUUGUAGGAUGGAAUCCAACAAGACUCCUAUUUUCAAACUCUAUUUGAGUACUGAUAUAUUCUAAUAAUUUUUUUAUCAUUAAAUAGCUUUUCUUAGUGGUGUUUCUUCUUUCUCUCUCUCUCCUUCUCUCUCUCUCUCUCCUUCUCUCUCUCUCUCUCUCUCUCUCUCUCUCUCUCUCUCUCUCUCUCUUUCUCUCUUCU
This is a non-coding RNA of Oryctolagus cuniculus (rabbit), 23603 nucleotides long. NCBI's taxonomy places the organism in Eukaryota, Metazoa, Chordata, Mammalia, Lagomorpha, Leporidae. The record is from RefSeq and is a predicted model, not a curated record.